GUGUCCGGAAAUCAGACUUAGCUUUUCAAAAAUCAGCUACCGAUAUGGCUUUGUCAUUUGCAUGUAAAAGAUCAUCUAAUGUGCAAGACUGGUCUAGGCGUGGGCAGAUCAGCAUAUGGCCAGGAUCCUGAAGAGCACCACACGCGCACAAGAUGUUUUCUUCGUUUGAAGCAGUCAACCAUGCAAGCGGAAGUUUUGGUGGUCUUCUUUUCAAGUAUACCAAGUGAAAUUUGCAAAACUUGCAUUUAUCUAACAGGAUGGAAAUUGGUAAUUAUUGAACAAGUGUGUUAUAAUUUAAAGUGUUUUGUGUAAUAUGCCUAAUCAUACGAAAUGUGAGAUCUUUUUCCCCAGAAAAUUGCAUUUUCUCACUCUAACAUGUUAUUCAGUAGACUAUAGCCUCCUUAAGUAGACCCCUUUAAGUUGUAUCUCUGGAUAUCCCAUACUGAUUUGCAAUAAACAAACGGAAAAAUAGAUUGUGAAAUAUGCAUUUUUGUAGUGCUAUAGCUUUAUUCAAGUUUUGCAUAAUCAAACAGUAAGUUAACCAUGUUCAAACAGUUUUUACUUAACUGAGCGCAGCAUGCAAGGUGAAUCAUUGUCAAUGUUAUUGUCUAUUGCAAUGUGUAAGUAUUAAAAGUGUUUAAAAUCACGCAGACAGUUGUUCAAAAUUUGGCUGAAAGCGAGAGAAGUGUGUUACUGUAUGUAGUUGCAUUGUGUAGCAGUCUACACACAGCCUUAAGCCCAAACCCUGUACUACUCUUAAUUCGGCUCCUUUGUUUUCUCUUCUUUUAUUGAAUAUACAUUUUGGAGUUAUUAUUUCUUUUAA
This is a long non-coding RNA of Macrosteles quadrilineatus (aster leafhopper), 823 nucleotides long. RefSeq lists it as uncharacterized. The transcript is spliced from 2 exons. Lineage: Eukaryota; Metazoa; Arthropoda; Insecta; Hemiptera; Cicadellidae. The record is from RefSeq and is a predicted model, not a curated record.